RNAcentral lists this ribosomal RNA (460 nucleotides) under uncultured bacterium. RNAcentral describes it as "partial 16S ribosomal RNA". It matches the Rfam family "Bacterial small subunit ribosomal RNA", at positions 338 to 795 of the family's 1533-position model. The record is from RNAcentral.
CCUACGGGGUGCAGCAGUGAGGAAUAUUGGUCAAUGGGCGCGAGCCUGAACCAGCCAAGUCGCGUGAGGGAUGAAGGUUCUAUGGAUCGUAAACCUCUUUUAUAAGGGAAUAAAGUGUGGGACGUGUCCUAUUUUGUAUGUACCUUAUGAAUAAGGAUCGGCUAACUCCGUGCCAGCAGCCGCGGUAAUACGGAGGAUCCGAGCGUUAUCCGGAUUUAUUGGGUUUAAAGGGUGCGUAGGCGGCCUUUUAAGUCAGCGGUGAAAGUCUGUGGCUCAACCAUAGAAUUGCCGUUGAAACUGGGGGGCUUGAGUAUGUUUGAGGCAGGCGGAAUGCGUGGUGUAGCGGUGAAAUGCUUAGAUAUCACGCAGAACCCCGAUUGCGAAGGCAGCCUGCCAAGCCAUGACUGACGCUGAUGCACGAAGGCCAGGGGAGCGAAAGGGAUUAGAUACCCGUGUAGUC